GGGGGGGGCAAGCGUUGUUCGGAAUUACUGGGCGUAAAGGGCUCGUAGGUGGCCGACUAAGUCAGACGUGAAAUCCCUCGGCUUAACCGGGGAACUGCGUCUGAUACUGGAUGGCUUGAGUUCGGGAGAGGGAUGCGGAAUUCCAGGUGUAGCGGUGAAAUGCGUAGAUAUCUGGAGGAACACCGGUGGCGAAGGCGGCACCCUGGACCGACACUGACACUGAGGAGCGAAAGCCAGGGGAGCAAACGGGAUUAGAUACCCCGGUAGUCCUGGCCCUAAACGAUGAAUGCUUGGUGUGGCGGGUAUCGAUCCCUGCCGUGCCGAAGCAACGCAUUAAGCAUUCCGCCUGGGGAGUACGGUCGCAAGGCUG
Molecule: ribosomal RNA, 370 nt
Filed under: uncultured bacterium
Lineage: Bacteria
Description: bacterial SSU rRNA
Rfam family: Bacterial small subunit ribosomal RNA
Source: RNAcentral